RNAcentral lists this long non-coding RNA (329 nucleotides) under Brassica napus (rape). RNAcentral describes it as "long non-coding RNA (BNAP_LNC027028)". The record is from RNAcentral. Lineage: Eukaryota; Viridiplantae; Streptophyta; Magnoliopsida; Brassicales; Brassicaceae.
GAGUAGCGGUCGAUGAGUGUGGGCACUUGUUAGUCACCGUAAAACCAACUCCAAAUUUUUUUUACAUUUGUUUAUAGUAAUAAAAAUCAAUGCAUCAAUUUUCCAUAUUAUUGUGGUGACGUUGUCUUGAUAGCAUUAUAAACUAAUAACACUUUUUUCAUUAUAGUUACGUAGCAUAAAGAACGUUUGAUCUACUCCAUCAUUUGUCAGCUCUAGACAUCUUGGUUUGUCGUUCAUGAUAAUCCAUAAAUUUCAUGCAUUCCUUGUCGGGGUCAAAAUCGGUCACGACGGAAUCAAUGUCUGAAACUCUGUAAAAAUCGGCAUGAACG